RNAcentral lists this ribosomal RNA (434 nucleotides) under uncultured Oscillospiraceae bacterium. RNAcentral's name for it is "bacterial SSU rRNA". It matches the Rfam family "Bacterial small subunit ribosomal RNA", at positions 341 to 792 of the family's 1533-position model. The record is from RNAcentral. Lineage: Bacteria; Bacillati; Bacillota; Clostridia; Eubacteriales; Oscillospiraceae.
ACGGAAGGCAGCAGUGGGGAAUAUUGCACAAUGGGGGAAACCCUGAUGCAGCAACGCCGCGUGAAGGAAGACGGUCUUCGGAUUGUAAACUUCUGUUCUUAGUGAAGAUAAUGACGGUAGCCAAGGAGGAAGCCACGGCUAACUACGUGCCAGCAGCCGCGGUAAUACGUAGGUGGCAAGCGUUGUCCGGAAUUACUGGGUGUAAAGGGAGCGCAGGCGGGACGGCAAGUUGGAUGUGAAAUACCGCAGCUUAACUGCGGAGCUGCAUCCAAAACUGUCGUUCUUGAGUGGAGUAGAGGCAGGCGGAAUUCCGAGUGUAGCGGUGAAAUGCGUAGAUAUUCGGAGGAACACCAGUGGCGAAGGCGGCCUGCUGGGCUCUAACUGACGCUGAGGCUCGAAAGUGUGGGGAGCAAACAGGAUUAGAUACCCUGAUA